CACUGUGGAAUUCGCCCUUCCUACGGGUGGCUGCAGUGGGGAAUAUUGGACAAUGGGGGAAACCCUGAUCCAGCGACGCCGCGUGAGUGAAGAAGUAUUUCGGUAUGUAAAGCUCUAUCAGCAGGGAAGAAAAUGACGGUACCUGACUAAGAAGCCCCGGCUAACUACGUGCCAGCAGCCGCGGUAAUACGUAGGGGGCAAGCGUUAUCCGGAUUUACUGGGUGUAAAGGGAGCGUAGACGGCACUGCAAGUCUGGAGUGAAAGCCCGGGGCUCAACCCCGGGACUGCUUUGGAAACUGUGGUGCUAGAGUGCAGGAGAGGUAAGUGGAAUUCCUAGUGUAGCGGUGAAAUGCGUAGAUAUUAGGAGGAACACCAGUGGCGAAGGCGGCUUACUGGACUGUAACUGACGUUGAGGCUCGAAAGCGUGGGGAGCAAACAGGAUUAGAUACCCCUGUAGUCAAGGGCGAAUUCCACAUUGGG
RNAcentral lists this ribosomal RNA (480 nucleotides) under uncultured bacterium. RNAcentral's name for it is "bacterial SSU rRNA". It matches the Rfam family "Bacterial small subunit ribosomal RNA", at positions 317 to 816 of the family's 1533-position model. The record is from RNAcentral.